UACGAAGGGUGCAAGCGUUACUCGGAAUUACUGGGCGUAAAGCGUGCGUAGGUGGUUUGUUAAGUCUGUUGUGAAAGCCCCGGGCUCAACCUGGGAAUGGCAAUGGAUACUGGCAAGCUAGAGUGCGGUAGAGGGUAGUGGAAUUCCCGGUGUAGCGGUGAAAUGCGUAGAGAUCGGGAGGAACACCAGUGGCGAAGGCGGCUACCUGGACAAGCACUGACACUGAGGCACGAAAGCGUGGGGAGCAAACAGG
This 253-nucleotide ribosomal RNA is filed under the name uncultured bacterium. Its description in RNAcentral is "partial 16S ribosomal RNA". It matches the Rfam family "Bacterial small subunit ribosomal RNA", at positions 524 to 776 of the family's 1533-position model. The record is from RNAcentral.